RNAcentral lists this ribosomal RNA (519 nucleotides) under uncultured Pseudomonadota bacterium. RNAcentral's name for it is "bacterial SSU rRNA". It matches the Rfam family "Bacterial small subunit ribosomal RNA", at positions 8 to 522 of the family's 1533-position model. Lineage: Bacteria; Pseudomonadati; Pseudomonadota. The record is from RNAcentral.
AGAGUUUGAUCCUGGCUCAGAUUGAACGCUGGCGGCAGGCCUAACACAUGCAAGUCGAGCGGUAGAGAGAAGCUUGCUUCUCUUGAGAGCGGCGGACGGGUGAGUAAUGCCUAGGAAUCUGCCUGGUAGUGGGGGAUAACGUUCGGAAACGGACGCUAAUACCGCAUACGUCCUACGGGAGAAAGCAGGGGACCUUCGGGCCUUGCGCUAUCAGAUGAGCCUAGGUCGGAUUAGCUAGUUGGUGAGGUAAUGGCUCACCAAGGCGACGAUCCGUAACUGGUCUGAGAGGAUGAUCAGUCACACUGGAACUGAGACACGGUCCAGACUCCUACGGGAGGCAGCAGUGGGGAAUAUUGGACAAUGGGCGAAAGCCUGAUCCAGCCAUGCCGCGUGUGUGAAGAAGGUCUUCGGAUUGUAAAGCACUUUAAGUUGGGAGGAAGGGUUGUAACCUAAUACGUUGCAAUUUUGACGUUACCGACAGAAUAAGCACCGGCUAACUCUGUGCCAGCAGCCGCGGUA